GAGUUUGAUCCUGGCUCAGGAUGAACGCUGGCGGCGUGCUUAACACAUGCAAGUCGAACGUGAAGCAUAGACUGAUUACUUCGGUAUGAUUUCUGUGUGGAAAGUGGCGAACGGGUGAGUAACACGUAGAUAACCUGCCCCAGAGUGGGGGACAACCACUAGAAACGGUGGCUAAUACCGCAUAGUUCUAUCGGUGUGGGAGCGCCGAUAGAUAAAGCUCCGGCGCUCUGGGAGGGGUCUGCGUCCGAUUAGCUAGUUGGUGGGGUAACAGCCUACCAAGGCGACGAUCGGUAGCUGGUCUGAGAGGACGAUCAGUCACAUGGGAACUGAGACACGGUCCCAACUCCUACGGGGGGCAGCAGUGAGGAAUAUUGCACAAUGGGGGAAACCCUGAUGCAGCAACGCCGCGUGGAGGAUGAAGGUUCUCGGAUCGUAAACUCCUUUUCUGAGGGAAGAGAAAGGACGGUACCUCAGGAAUAAGUCACGGCUCACUACGUGCCAGCAGCCGCGGUAAUACGUAGGUGGCAAGCGUUAUCCGGAUUUACUGGGCGUA
This 553-nucleotide ribosomal RNA is filed under the name uncultured Chloroflexota bacterium. RNAcentral describes it as "bacterial SSU rRNA". It matches the Rfam family "Bacterial small subunit ribosomal RNA", at positions 9 to 562 of the family's 1533-position model. Lineage: Bacteria; Bacillati; Chloroflexota. The record is from RNAcentral.